UUGAGACAGAGUCUCACUCUGUUGCCCAGGCUGGAGUGCAGUGGCAUGAUCUCAGCUCACUGCAACCUCCGCUUCCCAGUUCAAGUGGUUCUCCUCCUUCAGCCUCCCGAGUAGCUGGGAUUACAGGAGUUUGAGACCAGCCUGACCAACAUGGCAAAACCCCAUCUCUACUAAAAUACAAAAAUUAGCUGGGCAUGAUGGUGCACUCCUGUAAUCCCAGCUACUUGGUAGGCUGAAGCAUGAGAAUUGCUUAAACCUGGGAGGCAGAGGUUGCAGUAAGCCAAGAUCAUGCCACUGCACUCCAGCCUGGGCAACAGAGUAAGACUCUGUCUUAAUAAAUAAAUAAGAAAAUAAAACGGAACUGCAGUGCUAACAGUAAUUUAUACAUUUUUAAAUGUUCUGAGUAUGUUUUGACUGGGCUAGUGUAACAAUAUACUACCCUGAAAGUGCAGUUUUGAUUGUUGUUGGUGUCUUUGGGUCAGGAAAGUGAACUGUGCCAAGAAGUAUUUUUCAGUGACAUGAAUGGAUUCCUGUUAAUGCAAUUGACUGAGAGAUUGUGCUUACGCUUUCUUAACUGACAAAAAGAGGCUUUGUCCAACAUCAGAAUUGUUGAAACUGGUGCUGUUUUCUGUUGCACUGGGAUUCUGAUGAUCUGGGAUUUUCCCUCCUUGGCACAGUAAACACCAUGACUGUCUUUAUUGAGAAUGUCGUCACAGUCCUUUAGUGAUAGAUUAGUUAGACCCAUGGUUGCAAUACCUUUAUCUCCCCAAAGAAAAUAAUCAAAAGAAAGCACAAAAGCUACCCUGUUUGCAGAAUAUUUCACUGACAUUGAUUUGUCAUUAAUUCUACCAGAGCUGACCUCAUUCAGGCUUGAUAGAAACAGGUUCCUAUGUUUAGGGCAGAUCCCUAGCCUCUCGCUCACAGUGAGUCUGCAUGUCCUAGAUUCUGGUUAUUGCUGGAGCAUCCAUUAAAGUCUACCAAACUCAGGACAGAAGAAGAUAGCAGUGGAUUUGUAAAAAUUUUUAGUUUAU
RNAcentral lists this long non-coding RNA (1031 nucleotides) under Homo sapiens (human). Its description in RNAcentral is "HSALNT0105354". The record is from RNAcentral. Lineage: Eukaryota; Metazoa; Chordata; Mammalia; Primates; Hominidae.